AUGCGCCCGAGGUUCCUGU
RNAcentral lists this non-coding RNA (19 nucleotides) under Mus musculus (house mouse). Lineage: Eukaryota; Metazoa; Chordata; Mammalia; Rodentia; Muridae. The record is from RNAcentral.